RNAcentral lists this ribosomal RNA (840 nucleotides) under Polaribacter dokdonensis. Its description in RNAcentral is "bacterial SSU rRNA". It matches the Rfam family "Bacterial small subunit ribosomal RNA", at positions 382 to 1227 of the family's 1533-position model. The record is from RNAcentral. Lineage: Bacteria; Pseudomonadati; Bacteroidota; Flavobacteriia; Flavobacteriales; Flavobacteriaceae.
UCUGACCCAGCCAUGCCGCGUGCAGGAAGACUGCCCUAUGGGUUGUAAACUGCUUUUAUACAGGAAGAAACACUAGUACGUGUACUAGCUUGACGGUACUGUAAGAAUAAGGACCGGCUAACUCCGUGCCAGCAGCCGCGGUAAUACGGAGGGUCCGAGCGUUAUCCGGAAUCAUUGGGUUUAAAGGGUCCGCAGGCGGUCGAUUAAGUCAGAGGUGAAAUCCCAUAGCUUAACUAUGGAACUGCCUUUGAUACUGGUUGACUUGAGUCAUAUGGAAGUAGAUAGAAUGUGUAGUGUAGCGGUGAAAUGCAUAGAUAUUACACAGAAUACCGAUUGCGAAGGCAGUCUACUACGUAUGUACUGACGCUCAUGGACGAAAGCGUGGGGAGCGAACAGGAUUAGAUACCCUGGUAGUCCACGCCGUAAACGAUGGACACUAGUUGUUGGGCAUUAGCUCAGUGACUAAGCGAAAGUGAUAAGUGUCCCACCUGGGGAGUACGAUCGCAAGAUUGAAACUCAAAGGAAUUGACGGGGGCCCGCACAAGCGGUGGAGCAUGUGGUUUAAUUCGAUGAUACGCGAGGAACCUUACCAGGGCUUAAAUGUAGUCUGACAGCUUUAGAGAUAGAGUUUUCUUCGGACAGAUUACAAGGUGCUGCAUGGUUGUCGUCAGCUCGUGCCGUGAGGUGUCAGGUUAAGUCCUAUAACGAGCGCAACCCUUGUCGUUAGUUGCCAGCAUGUAAAGAUGGGGACUCUAACGAGACUGCCGGUGCAAACCGCGAGGAAGGUGGGGAUGACGUCAAAUCAUCACGGCCCUUACGUCCUGGGCCACACACGUGCUA